UAAGCAUGUGGGACAAUCGCUCUUUGAAUCAAGAGAGGAAAGUCCGGACUCCUAAUAGGAAAAGUGCCUUACAAGAUAUGUAAAAAACAUAUUCAAGUAAGGGAGGUUAUAAAACCUACGGAAAGUGCCACAGAAAAAAUACCGCCUAAUUUUUUAGGCAAGGGUGAAAAUGUGCGGUAAGAGCGCACGGAUAUAUAUAGCAAUAUAUGUAUGAGGUAAACCCCGCUUGGAGCAAGACGAAAUAAGCAGGUUAUAAAUUUCCUAUUUUUUAAUUGCCUGCGGGUACGUCGCAAAGAUAGAUGAUUGUCACUUAUUUUUAAGUACAGAAUCCGGCUUAUAAGCAUGCUUAAUAG
This 353-nucleotide RNase P RNA is filed under the name Candidatus Babelota bacterium. Its description in RNAcentral is "RNase P RNA component class A". It matches the Rfam family "Bacterial RNase P class A". Rfam says of the family: Ribonuclease P (RNase P) is a ubiquitous endoribonuclease, found in archaea, bacteria and eukarya as well as chloroplasts and mitochondria. The record is from RNAcentral.